Molecule: ribosomal RNA, 305 nt
Filed under: uncultured bacterium
Lineage: Bacteria
Description: bacterial SSU rRNA
Rfam family: Bacterial small subunit ribosomal RNA
Source: RNAcentral
ACCUACGGGAGGCAGCAGUGGGGAAUAUUGCACAAUGGGGGGAACCCCGAUGCAGCGACGCCGCGUGGGUGAAGGAGUACUUCGGUACGUAAAGCCCUAUCAGCAGGAAAGAAAAUGGCGGUACCUGACUAAGAAGCCCCGGCUAACUACGUGCCAGCAGCCGCGGUAAUACGUAGGGGGCAAGCGUUAUCCGGAUUUACUGGGUGUAAAGGGAGCGUAGACGGCAGUGCAAGUCCGGAGUGAAAGCCCGGGGCCCAACCCUGGGACUGCUCUGGAAACUGUAAAGCUGGAGUGCGGGAGGGGCA